This 541-nucleotide ribosomal RNA is filed under the name uncultured bacterium. RNAcentral describes it as "partial 16S ribosomal RNA". It matches the Rfam family "Bacterial small subunit ribosomal RNA", at positions 355 to 889 of the family's 1533-position model. The record is from RNAcentral.
UGGGGAAUUUUGGACAAUGGGGGAAACCCUGAUCCAGCCAUCCCGCGUGUGCGAUGAAGGCCUUCGGGUUGUAAAGCACUUUUGGCAGGAAAGAAACGUCGCGGGUUAAUACCCCGCGAAACUGACGGUACCUGCAGAAUAAGCACCGGCUAACUACGUGCCAGCAGCCGCGGUAAUACGUAGGGUGCAAGCGUUAAUCGGAAUUACUGGGCGUAAAGCGUGCGCAGGCGGUUCGGAAAGAAAGAUGUGAAAUCCCAGAGCUUAACUUUGGAACUGCAUUUUUUAACUACCGGGCUAGAGUGUGUCAGAGGGAGGUGGAAUUCCGCGUGUAGCAGUGAAAUGCGUAGAUAUGCGGAGGAACACCGAUGGCGAAGGCAGCCUCCUGGGAUAACACUGACGCUCAUGCACGAAAGCGUGGGGAGCAACAGGAUUAGAUACCCUGGUAGUCCACGCCCUAAACGAUGUCAACUAGCUGUUGGGGCCUUCGGGCCUUGGUAGCGCAGCUAACGCGUGAAGUUGACCGCCUGGGGAGUACGGUCGC